Small nuclear RNA from Onychomys torridus (southern grasshopper mouse), 104 nucleotides. Lineage: Eukaryota; Metazoa; Chordata; Mammalia; Rodentia; Cricetidae. The record is from RefSeq and is a predicted model, not a curated record.
GUGCUGGCUUCUGUAGUACACAGGCUAAAACUGGAGCAGCAUGGAGAUGAGCAUGGCCUUUGUGCAACAAUGAUACAUAGAUUCAUGAUGAAUUCCAUAUUUUU